Molecule: long non-coding RNA, 1426 nt
Organism: Bombina bombina (fire-bellied toad)
Lineage: Eukaryota; Metazoa; Chordata; Amphibia; Anura; Bombinatoridae
Exons: 2
Source: RefSeq, a predicted model, not a curated record
GUUGAGCAGGAAGACUCGUCACCCACCUCUGAAACACACAUUGCAAGAGCAGGAUGAAGCGGCCCUUCAUGAGGAGGAACCUCAGGUCGAAGAAGAUUGGUCCUCCCAUGGAAGAUCAUUCUUGCAAUUCCUGGAGGAUGAUGUGGACCUUACUUUUGUAAUGUAGGAUUGGAUCAGCCCCCCAUCCCCCAACCAAUAGAAAAUGUGUCCCUUACUAAGAGAUGACUACACCCUGCUCAGCCUGGGAGAAGAAACAGCACGGGCCCUUUCCUCUCAGCCCUUGGACCUCUCCCAACCCGGAUGGCAUCCCCAACAUUUUAUGCCACCUCCACCACCAUCCCCUUCACCUGCACCUUCACUACAGGCUGCAACAUCACCACAGGAUGCACCACAAGGGGAAGGAGCAGAAAGGGAACAAAUAAGGACCGUAAUGUUCUCUUUUAACACAUACACCCACAGAAGUCUCCAAGUGCAGAGGCAGAUGGUCAGAGUACUGUAGGCAAAUAUUACUGGAACAAGCAGACAAACCAGCCUGUUGGAGAGAAUGAUGGUGUGCAUUGAACAGAAGAGGGGCUCCAGCACCACAGAGCACACUGGUGGUGCCUCCCCUGAUUCAGUACCUUCCUAAGACUGUUGCUUCGAGCUUCUUGCCCUCCAACAACUGCUGUCUCUUCUGCCUCUAGAGCCAUGCUCCGUUCUAGGAGUCAGUGUCCUUCACAUCCCUCCUUCUACUCCUAAAUUCUGAGGGUUUUUGUUCAUCACUCAUGCGCAAAUUGUAUAUCUGGAUUCAUUACAUAAAUUUAUACUAAAAUGUUUGAGAUUCAUAACUAAUAUGGAGAGCAAACAUGAAUUUUAAUAAGGUAUUGGUUGGUAUUGUAUUUUAUGUAUGCAUGUGAGGGAAACUAUAUCUAAAACCCUUAAGCCAGGCUCACCACCUGCCUCUGUACUUGGAGACUUCUGUGGGUGAUUUAGUUUAAUGCAGACAUUAUGGACCUCACUAGUUCUCUGUUUGUUCUUUCCCCUUCUGGUGUAAAUAUGUAAUUUUUACACAUUUAUGAAAUUCUUAGAUAUAGCAUAAAUAUUUCAUCAUGCCAGUUAUUUUCUAGAACAUAUUUUUUAAGAGGUUUGAUUGUUAAUGGCUGAAAUAAUUGUAGUAUUGUUGUACUGUCAAAUAGUUUUUCUUGUUGUGGAACACUAUUAACAGCCUAUGGACUUUGAUAUGGCAUACUUGUGCUUCAACUUGCCAAACAAUUGUCAUCAUGGACUGUGUCUCUUGUUGCUCAACUACUAACUCUAACUCUUUGUAUGGUUUAUGGUCUGUGUUAUUCCAUACCAUACUUGCUGACAAAUAUUGUUUUUGUUUAAACUCAGGCUAUGGGGGACUGAUGUCUGAUCCUGUAAAUUAAAUUGAUAUAUGUUAUGUCAA